This 253-nucleotide ribosomal RNA is filed under the name uncultured bacterium. Its description in RNAcentral is "partial 16S ribosomal RNA". It matches the Rfam family "Bacterial small subunit ribosomal RNA", at positions 524 to 776 of the family's 1533-position model. The record is from RNAcentral.
UACGUAGGGACCGAGCGUUGUCCGGAUUCAUUGGGCGUAAAGCGCAUGUAGGCGGCCAUGUAAGUCGGUUGUGAAAUCCCGAGGCUCAACUUCGGAACUGCAGCCGAUACUGCAUGGAUUGAGGAAGGUAGAGGAGAGUGGAAUUCCCGGUGUAGCGGUGGAAUGCGCAGAUAUCGGGACGAACACCUAUGGCGAAGGCAGCUCUCUGGGCCUCUCCUGACGCUGAGAUGCGAAAGCGUGGGUAGCGAACAGG